AGGGCGCACGGUGGAUGCCUUGGCACUAGGAGCCGAUGAAGGACGGAACUAAUACCGAUAUGCUUCGGGGAGCUAUAAGUAAGCUUUGAUCCGGAGAUUUCCGAAUGGGGGAACCCAGUACACAUCAGUGUAUUGCCUGCAAGUGAAUUCAUAGCUUGUCGGCGGCAGACGCGGGGAACUGAAACAUCUCAGUACCCGCAGGAAGAGAAAGAAAACUCGAUUCCCAUAGUAGCGGCGAGCGAAGUGGGAAGAGCCCAAACCGAGAAGCUUGCUUCUCGGGGUUGUAGGACUGGACAUUGGAGUUACCAAAGUUCGACGUAGUCGAAGUCAGCUGGAAAGCUGCGCCAUAGAAGGUGAAAGCCCUGUAAACGAAACGGCGGACCCUCCGUCCAGGAUCCUGAGUACGGCGGAACACGUGAAAUUCCGUCGGAAUCCGGGAGGACCAUCUCCCAAGGCUAAAUACUCCCUAGUGACCGAUAGUGAACCAGUACCGUGAGGGAAAGGUGAAAAGCACCCCGGAAGGGGAGUGAAACAGUUCCUGAAACCGUGUGCCUACAAUUAGUCAAAGCCCGUUAAGGGGUAAUGGCGUGCCUUUUGUAGAAUGAACCGGCGAGUUACGUUUGCCUGCGAGGUUAAGAUGAAAAGUCGGAGCCGGAGCGAAAGCGAGUCUGAACAGGGCGAAUGAGUAGGCAGAUGUAGACCCGAAACCAAGUGACCUACCCAUGACCAGGUUGAAGGUGUGGUGAAACACACUGGAGGACCGAACCCAUGUAUGUUGAAAAAUGCUGGGAUGAGUUGUGGGUAGCGGUGAAAUUCCAAACGAACUUGGAGAUAGCUGGUUCUCUCCGAAAUAGCUUUAGGGUUAGCCUCGGAGGAUGGAUCAUGGAGGUAGAGCACUGUUUGAACUAGGGGCCCAUCAAGGGUUACUGAAUUCAGAUAAACUCCGAAUACCAUCGAUCUUACUCCGGGAGUCAGACAGUGAGCGAUAAGGUCCAUUGUCGAAAGGGGAACAGCCCAGAUCACCAGUUAAGGUCCCUAAAUUUAUGCUAAGUGGAAAAGGAUGUGGCGUUGCACAGACAACUAGGAUGUUGGCUCAGAAGCAGCCACCAUUUAAAGAGUGCGUAAUAGCUCACUAGUCGAGUGGCACUGCGCCGAAAAUAUACCGGGGCUAAGCAUAAUACCGAAACUGUGGGUGCACCCGUCAGGGUGCGCGGUAGGAGAGCGUUCUAAGGGCGUUGAAGGUCGAUCGUGAGGACGGCUGGAGCGCUUAGAAGUGAGAAUGCCGGCAUGAGUAGCGAAAGAUCAGUGAGAAUCUGAUCCACCGUAUGACUAAGGUUUCCUGGGGAAGGCUCGUCCUCCCAGGGUUAGUCGGGAUCUAAGGCGAGGCCGCAAGGCGUAGUCGAUGACAAGCAGGUUGAGAUUCCUGCACUAGUUUAUUUUGUUUAAGCGAUGGAGGGACGCAGGAGGCUAAGGAAAGCGCACGGCUGGAAAAGUGCGUCCAAGCCGCAAGUCUGGUGGCGAGUGAAAUGCUUGCGACCAUAAGGACAAGCGGUGAUGGGGAGCGAAAUUAAAGUAGCGAAGUUCCUGAUGUCACACUGCCAAGAAAAGCUUCUAGUGAGAAAUAAACUACCCGUACCGCAAACCGACACAGGUAGUCGAGGAGAGUAUCCUCAGGUGAGCGAGCGAACUCUCGUUAAGGAACUCGGCAAAAUGACCCCGUAACUUCGGAAGAAGGGGUGCUGACCGCAAGGUCAGCCGCAGUGAAUAGGCCCAAACAACUGUUUAUCAAAAACACAGGUCUCUGCUAAAUCGAAAGAUGAUGUAUAGGGGCUGACGCCUGCCCGGUGCUGGAAGGUUAAGAGGAUGAGUUAGCGCAAGCGAAGCCCAGAAUUGAAGCCCCAGUAAACGGCGGCCGUAACUAUAACGGUCCUAAGGUAGCGAAAUUCCUUGUCGGGUAAGUUCCGACCCGCACGAAAGGCGUAAUGAUUUGGGCACUGUCUCAACGAGAGACUCGGUGAAAUUAUAGUACCCGUGAAGAUGCGGGUUACCCGCGACAGGACGGAAAGACCCCAUGGAGCUUUACUGUAGCUUGAUAUUGAGUGUUGGUACCGCUUGUACAGGAUAGGUAGGAGCCGUAGAGAUCGGAACGCUAGUUUCGAUGGAGGCGUUGGUGGGAUACUACCCUAGCUGUAUGAACACUCUAACCCGCGCCACUGAUCGUGACGGGAGACAGUGUCAGGUAGGCAGUUUGACUGGGGCGGUCGCCUCCUAAAAUGUAACGGAGGCGCCCAAAGGUUCCCUCAGAAUGGUUGGAAAUCAUUCGCAGAGUGUAAAGGCAGAAGGGAGCUUGACUGCGAGACCUACAAGUCGAGCAGGGACGAAAGUCGGGCUUAG
Molecule: ribosomal RNA, 2394 nt
Filed under: synthetic metagenome
Description: bacterial LSU rRNA
Rfam family: Bacterial large subunit ribosomal RNA
Source: RNAcentral